RNAcentral lists this transfer RNA (66 nucleotides) under Margattea nimbata. Its description in RNAcentral is "tRNA-Leu". The record is from RNAcentral. Lineage: Eukaryota; Metazoa; Arthropoda; Insecta; Blattodea; Pseudophyllodromiidae.
UCUAAUUUGGCAGAGAAGUGCAGUGGAUUUAAGCUCCACUUAUAAAGUUCACAACUUUUUUUAGAA